Molecule: ribosomal RNA, 203 nt
Filed under: uncultured bacterium
Lineage: Bacteria
Description: partial 16S ribosomal RNA
Rfam family: Bacterial small subunit ribosomal RNA
Source: RNAcentral
UACGUAGGGUGCGAGCGUUGUCCGGAAUUAUUGGGCGUAAAGAGCUCGUAGGCGGUUUGUCGCGUCUGCCGUGAAAGUCCGGGGCUCAACUCCGGAUCUGCGGUGGGUACGGGCAGACUAGAGUGAUGUAGGGGGAGACUGGAAUUCCUGGUGUAGCGGUGAAAUGCGCAGAUAUCAGGAGGAACACCGAUGGCGAAGGCAGG